RNAcentral lists this ribosomal RNA (328 nucleotides) under Chthoniobacterales bacterium. RNAcentral's name for it is "partial 23S ribosomal RNA". It matches the Rfam family "Bacterial large subunit ribosomal RNA", at positions 2592 to 2925 of the family's 2925-position model. Lineage: Bacteria; Pseudomonadati; Verrucomicrobiota; Spartobacteria; Chthoniobacterales. The record is from RNAcentral.
AGUGGUACGCGAGCUGGGUUCAGAACGUCGCGAGACAGUUCGGUCCUUAUCCACUGUGGGCGCAGGAGAUUUGAGGGGUUCAAUCCUUAGUACGAGAGGACCGGGAUUGACAAACCUCUGGUGAUCCAGUUGUUCCGUCAGGAGCAUCGCUGGGCAGCUAUGUUUGGAAAGGAUAAGCGCUGAAAGCAUCUAAGCGCCAAGCCUCUCCCGAGAUGAGAUCUCCCUGAAGAGUCGUGGAAGACCACCACGUUGAUAGGUCGCGGGUAUAAGCGCAGUAAUGCGUUCAGCUUAGCGAUACUAAUACUCGUUCGGCUUUUUUCUCCAUCUU